GUGCUCACUUCAGCAGCACAUAUACUAAAAUUAGAACCAUAUAGAGAAGAUUAGCAUGGCCAAUGCACAAGGAUGACCAGCAAAUUCGUGAAGCAUUCCACAUUAAA
Molecule: small nuclear RNA, 107 nt
Organism: Ailuropoda melanoleuca (giant panda)
Lineage: Eukaryota; Metazoa; Chordata; Mammalia; Carnivora; Ursidae
Source: Ensembl